UCUCUCCUGGAAACGGGUGGUAAUGCCGGAUGCUCCGACUCCUCGCAUGGGGUGUCGGGAAAGAUUUCAUCGGUAUGGGAUGGGGUCGCGUCCUAUCAGGUAGUCGGCGGGGUAACGGCCCACCGAGCCUACGACGGGUAGCCGGCCUGAGAGGGCGACCGGCCACAUUGGGACUGAGAUACGGCCCAGACUCCUACGGGAGGCAGCAGUGGGGAAUAUUGCACAAUGGGCGCAAGCCUGAUGCAGCGACGCCGCGUGCGGGAUGACGGCCUUCGGGUUGUAAACCGCUUUUGAUCGGGAGCAAGCCUUCGGGUGAGUGUACCUUUCGAAUAAGCACCGGCUAACUACGUGCCAGCAGCCGCGGUAAUACGUAGGGUGCAAGCGUUAUCCGGAAUUAUUGGGCGUAAAGGGCUCGUAGGCGGUUCGUCGCGUCCGGUGUGAAAGUCCAUCGCUUAACGGUGGAUCUGCGCCGGGUACGGGCGGGCUGGAGUGCGGUAGGGGAGACUGGAAUUCCCGGUGUAACGGUGGAAUGUGUAGAUAUCGGGAGGAACACCA
This 555-nucleotide ribosomal RNA is filed under the name Bifidobacterium pseudocatenulatum. RNAcentral describes it as "bacterial SSU rRNA". It matches the Rfam family "Bacterial small subunit ribosomal RNA", at positions 144 to 711 of the family's 1533-position model. Lineage: Bacteria; Bacillati; Actinomycetota; Actinomycetes; Bifidobacteriales; Bifidobacteriaceae. The record is from RNAcentral.